GACGAACGCUGGCGGCGUGCUUAACACAUGCAAGUCGAACGGGCCCGCCCCUGUUUUUGGGGGUGGGUUGAGUGGCGAACGGGUGAGUAUCACGUGAGUAACCUGCCCCCUGCUCCUGGAUAACUGCUUGAAAGGGCGGCUAAUACGGGGUGUGCCGGCUGGUCCGCAUGGGCCUGGUCGGGAUAGUUUCAUCUUCGGGUGUUUCGGUGGGGGAUGGGCUCGCGGCCUAUCAGCUUGUUGGUGGGGUGAUGGCCCACCAAGGCGGUGACGGGUAGCCGGCCUGGGAGGGUGGGCGGCCACACUGGGACUGAGACACGGCCCAGACUCCUGCGGGAGGCAGCAGUGGGGGGUAUUGCACAAUGGGCGGAAGCCUGAUGCAGCGACGUCGCGUGAGGGAUGGAGGCCUUCGGGUUGUGAACCUCUUUCUCCGGUGGUGAAGGCCCUGUCCGUUGCGGCGGGGUUGACGGUAGCCGGGUAUGAAGCGCCGGCUAACUACGUG
RNAcentral lists this ribosomal RNA (499 nucleotides) under uncultured bacterium. Its description in RNAcentral is "partial 16S ribosomal RNA". It matches the Rfam family "Bacterial small subunit ribosomal RNA", at positions 28 to 507 of the family's 1533-position model. The record is from RNAcentral.